GCACUCACUUAUGCAGCACAUAUAGUAAAACUGGAAUGAUGCACAGAAGAUGAGCAUGGCCUUGCAUAAGUAUGAUAUGCAAAGAUGUGAGGCAUUUCAUAUAUUU
Small nuclear RNA from Sorex araneus (European shrew), 106 nucleotides. Lineage: Eukaryota; Metazoa; Chordata; Mammalia; Eulipotyphla; Soricidae. The record is from Ensembl.